This 88-nucleotide transfer RNA is filed under the name Paenibacillus sp. FSL R5-0345. Its description in RNAcentral is "tRNA-Leu". It matches the Rfam family "tRNA". Rfam says of the family: Transfer RNA (tRNA) molecules are approximately 80 nucleotides in length. Their secondary structure includes four short double-helical elements and three loops (D, anti-codon, and T loops). The record is from RNAcentral. Lineage: Bacteria; Bacillati; Bacillota; Bacilli; Caryophanales; Paenibacillaceae.
GCAAGGGUUUGUGGAAAGGUAAGACCGCACAGGACUUAAAAUCCUGCGGUACGUGAGUACCGUACGGGUUCGACCCCCGUCCUCGGCA